RNAcentral lists this ribosomal RNA (447 nucleotides) under uncultured bacterium. Its description in RNAcentral is "bacterial SSU rRNA". It matches the Rfam family "Bacterial small subunit ribosomal RNA", at positions 331 to 794 of the family's 1533-position model. The record is from RNAcentral.
CCAGACUCCUACGGGAGGCAGCAGUGGGGAAUAUUGCGCAAUGGGGGAAACCCUGAUGCAGCGACGCCGCGUGAGUGAAGAAGUAUUUCGGUAUGUAAAGCUCUAUCAGCAGGGAAGAAAAAAGACGGUACCUGACUAAGAAGCCCCGGCUAACUACGUGCCAGCAGCCGCGGUAAUACGUAGGGGGCAAGCGUUAUCCGGAUUCACUGGGUGUAAAGGGAGCGUAGACGGCCAAGCAAGCCAGGGGUGAAAGCCCGGGGCCCAACCCCGGGACUGCCCUUGGAACUGCAUGGCUGGAGUGCGGGAGGGGCAGGCGGAAUUCCUGGUGUAGCGGUGAAAUGCGUAGAUAUCAGGAGGAACACCGGCGGCGAAGGCGGCCUGCUGGACCGCGACUGACGUUGAGGCCCGAAAGCGUGGGGAGCAAACAGGAUUAGAUACCCCAGUAAU